AGCCCUUGUGUGUGUCUUUGUUUUAAUUUGUAACAAGGCCUUAUAAACAGGUGCAACCAGUAAAUCCUCUUCUGCAACCCAGAACUCAUUGCUCAUAUGAGAUUUUGGUACAUGUAAGAAGGAAUAUG
Small nucleolar RNA from Dipodomys ordii (Ord's kangaroo rat), 128 nucleotides. NCBI's taxonomy places the organism in Eukaryota, Metazoa, Chordata, Mammalia, Rodentia, Heteromyidae. The record is from Ensembl.